GUAUCACUAGUGCAAUAAGAGACCUUUACAUUGUUACUCACACGAUUUUGGUGUAUUUGUGUUUGUUCGAGCCCAAGUACUUUCCUGAUGGAUGCUGACGCAGAACAAAUCGCACUCUUUGAUCUUCACGUAACAGAUAAAUGAAAACUUUUGCUGUAUCUAGAAGUCCAUCUGUAUCAUUCACCAGCACCUGAUGUUUCUUUACAAAGUACUGAGUGAGGAAUCUAAGAAUGUACCAUGGUCAGAGGUGAAGACGAAAUUAUACGAAUUCCUGCACACACAAACUUAUUUUAACAAUCUCCACUCCAUUUAUGAAUGAAACACGAAGAAACUCCAAUAUGUGGGCAAUUGGAAGUAUCUUCUCGCCAUAAGUUUUACAGUUGUUUGCAGAGUUUGGUGG
Molecule: long non-coding RNA, 400 nt
Organism: Schistocerca serialis cubense
Lineage: Eukaryota; Metazoa; Arthropoda; Insecta; Orthoptera; Acrididae
Exons: 3
Source: RefSeq, a predicted model, not a curated record